GACGAACGCUGGCGGCGUGCUUAACACAUGCAAGUCGAGCGGUAAGGCCCUUCGGGGUACACGAGCGGCGAACGGGUGAGUAACACGUGGGUGACCUGCCCUUAGCGUCUGGGACUAAGCCUGGGAAACUGGGUCUAAUACCGGAUAUGACUCCAUAACGCAUGUUGUGGGGUGAAAGCCUUGUGCGGCUAGGGAUGGGCCCGCGGCCUAUCAGCUUGUUGGUGGGGUGAUGGCCUACCAAGGCGACGACGGGUAGCCGGCCUGAGAGGGCGACCGGCCACACUGGGACUGAGACACGGCCCAGACUCCUACGGGAGGCAGCGAGUGGGGAAUCUUGCGCAAUGGGCGAAAGCCUGACGCAGCGACGCCGCGUGGGGAUGACGGCCU
Molecule: ribosomal RNA, 387 nt
Filed under: uncultured bacterium
Lineage: Bacteria
Description: bacterial SSU rRNA
Rfam family: Bacterial small subunit ribosomal RNA
Source: RNAcentral